Triticum aestivum (bread wheat) is the source of this 135-nucleotide non-coding RNA. NCBI's taxonomy places the organism in Eukaryota, Viridiplantae, Streptophyta, Magnoliopsida, Poales, Poaceae. The record is from Rfam.
CUUAUACUCAUUCCGUCCGAAAAUACUUGUCAUCAAAAUGAAUAAAAGGUGAUGUAUCUCGAACUAAAAUAUGUCUAGAUACAUUCUCUUUUAUCCAUUUUGAUGAUAAAUAUUUCCGGACGGAGGGAGUACUUU